GUGGGGAAUUUUGGACAAUGGGCGCAAGCCUGAUCCAGCAAUGCCGCGUGCAGGAAGAAGGCCUUCGGGUUGUAAACUGCUUUUGUACGGAACGAAACGGUCCGGGUUAAUACCCUGGGCUAAUGACGGUACCGUAAGAAUAAGCACCGGCUAACUACGUGCCAGCAGCCGCGGUAAUACGUAGGGUGCAAGCGUUAAUCGGAAUUACUGGGCGUAAAGCGUGCGCAGGCGGUGCUGUAAGACAGGCGUGAAAUCCCCGGGCUCAACCUGGGAAUUGCGCUUGUGACUGCAGUGCUGGAGUACGGCAGAGGGGGAUGGAAUUCCGCGUGUAGCAGUGAAAUGCGUAGAUAUGCGGAGGAACACCGAUGGCGAAGGCAGUCCCCUGGGCCUGUACUGACGCUCAUGCACGAAAGCGUGGGGAGCAAACAGGAUUAGAUACCCGGGUAGUCC
This 450-nucleotide ribosomal RNA is filed under the name uncultured bacterium. Its description in RNAcentral is "partial 16S ribosomal RNA". It matches the Rfam family "Bacterial small subunit ribosomal RNA", at positions 354 to 796 of the family's 1533-position model. The record is from RNAcentral.